Molecule: RNA transcript, 1465 nt
Organism: Cyanidioschyzon merolae strain 10D
Lineage: Eukaryota; Rhodophyta; Bangiophyceae; Cyanidiales; Cyanidiaceae
Exons: 1
Source: RefSeq, a predicted model, not a curated record
AACGAACGGAAGCUGUUUUGGGAUGCUUUGCACCCGUUCCGCCACGUCGGGAGAUGUAGCUCGCCCAGCGCCACGCUUCUCGACGGGCUGCUUCCCACACGUGUACCCAGCUGACUGCGUUCGGUAUGCUCCAGCAUAUCCUGGACAGUGAUGAAGCGGGUUCGCCAAUGGACCCUGACGGUGAGGUGCGGAACAAGCGACACGCUCUCGGAUACCAGUGAGCGUCGUGCAGUGGGGAAUCCCUGGUCAUGGUAAACGAUCCUCUAUUCUCGGGAAAGAUUCUAGCGGGUAGGCAUUUAACCAUGGCGCUUGCCAUCGAUGGAUGCAGUGAGAAAAACAUCAAAUCCUGCGAGUGAAGUCUUCUUUGCAGGCACGAUACGCGUGUUCUGUGCUGAGAUGCCCGCGUUUGCUGGUGCUAUGUCCGGUGCUGGACUAGGAUUCAACGCUUGGAGGCUCGUUUGGUGAAUGAAACGCUCAUUCUCGACAGUCAGACUGGAGCGUGAUUCACGUGACCCAGAGGUCUCCGAAGCACAUGAGGGCUCGCUUCCCUGGGUAUAGGCAGCGGUUGCAUAUCCCGGGGAUUGCUGGUCAGAUUCGUGGAUCAAUCAUCAAAAGAUAUCUCGCCUUGACGCUAUUUGGAAGCAGUGCUUCGCGCGGCUACCCGCACAGCAUCGCGCCUGUGUUUUUGAUCGACGGAACCCCCAGAGGAACCGACGACGCGCUAUUGUACGCGAAAGGUAUCGACAUAAGUGAAAACGCCCAUCAUGCCGCAUCCGACCUCCAAGUUAAGCUAGUCACUGAACAUGCUUCCCUUCGGAGUGCAUGCCCAGUUCAUAUGUCACUCGGGGUGCUGUGUGCCUGCUGCUGUGCCCGGCAAUGCACGGAGAGAAGACGCAGCGGCGGGUAGAAUCGUGUGCAUGAGCAAUCUCGAAGAAACGAAAUGCGCACUAGCAACUCGAGAACCUGGUGUUUGAAUGGAUAUGGUGAGCGAUGAAAGGGGAAAACAUUCCCUGUAUAUUCGACCAUUUACGUCUAAGAGGCAGGUCCUGCGAGCCGGAUGAGUGUUCUGGGCCAGCGCUUUGUGUGCUUCUGCACUGACGGGUGCUGAGCCAAUACAUGGCUGCUUGUCCGAAACGCAUUUCAUUCUGGGACCCGUAGCUGGUAAGCUGCGUAGGGGCGUCGCUAUGGUCGCAGUGGACUCCUAGCACAUCGCUUCGCGCCUCCACAGGCAGUGCUUCCGUAUGCGCAGGAUUCAGGCUCCCAGAAUGAUGAUGCAUCCCGAUUCUGUGACUAGUGAAGCGUGCCUCGAGCCGACGCUCCCGGGAGUAUUUCGAAGCCGUUUCGUCUCCGUACUGAAUCCGCACCGGUUGUAUGGGCGUUAUUGCGGGUGCUCAAGACAGCCUCGGCAGUUUUUUGUCGCAGGAAAUGACCAGAAUCUCCGAGAACGAGUAUAAAUAAUCUAACG